This is a microRNA precursor of Bison bison bison, 92 nucleotides long. Ensembl annotates it as microRNA 450a-2. Its record names the gene MIR450A2. The record is from Ensembl. NCBI's taxonomy places the organism in Eukaryota, Metazoa, Chordata, Mammalia, Artiodactyla, Bovidae.
CAAAGAAAGAUGCUAAACUAUUUUUGCGAUGUGUUCCUAAUAUGUAAUCUAAAUGUAUUGGGAACAUUUUGCAUUCAUAGUUUUGUAUCAAU